UGGUGGAGUGAUUUGUCUGGUUAAUUCCGUUAACGAACGAAACCUCAGCCUACUAUUGUAGUUACCAGCGCAUCUUGUAUGUGCUUAACUUCUUAGAGGGACUGACAGUUUUUAGCUGUUGGAAGUUUGAGGCAAUAACA
RNAcentral lists this ribosomal RNA (140 nucleotides) under uncultured eukaryote. RNAcentral's name for it is "partial 18S ribosomal RNA". It matches the Rfam family "Eukaryotic small subunit ribosomal RNA", at positions 1299 to 1458 of the family's 1831-position model. The record is from RNAcentral.